This 523-nucleotide long non-coding RNA is filed under the name Mus spicilegus (steppe mouse). RNAcentral's name for it is "lncRNA (ENSMSIG00000007851.1)". The record is from RNAcentral. Lineage: Eukaryota; Metazoa; Chordata; Mammalia; Rodentia; Muridae.
CCCAGAAUCCUCUGCCUUCACCUCCCUCCACCAGAACUGACACAUAGCCGAGCCCUAAGAAUGGACAUUCUGACAGUUACAGCCAUUGAGUAGCCAAGGUGGCCUGUGCUGAAUGCUGAGGGAAUGGAGACCCAAUCCCCGAAGAAGGAAGGGAAGACAGCAAUGACAGAGUACGAUUGACAGGGAUUGUGCGCCAGGAGACCUCACUAGCUUCUUCCGAUGAUGUUCUCAGUGCCCCCAGUCCUAGCCAUGCAGACGACAGUGACACAGCUCUGCAGCCCCUUUCACAGGGACUCCACAGCCACUGUGUUCUGCCGUGUCUUUUCCUGAUCACUGGCAAGCACUGGGGAUGCUUGACACCCUCGGGUUCUGGCUUCAGGGUGGAAGAGAGUUGUUGAAAAGGUCCUCCAGACCCAACCUUGCUGAAGUGUUAGAAGCUUCUAGAAGAGCGGCCCACAAUUAAGACCUUUCUAUCCCGGACUCAUUGCUGUCGGGGAGACAAGCAGAGCAGAACAGUUAACAG